Molecule: ribosomal RNA, 799 nt
Filed under: Agromyces sp.
Lineage: Bacteria; Bacillati; Actinomycetota; Actinomycetes; Micrococcales; Microbacteriaceae
Description: bacterial SSU rRNA
Rfam family: Bacterial small subunit ribosomal RNA
Source: RNAcentral
CUCAGGACGAACGCUGGCGGCGUGCUUAACACAUGCAAGUCGAACGAUGAACCGGGUGCUUGCACCUGGGGAUUAGUGGCGAACGGGUGAGUAACACGUGAGUAACCUGCCCUGGACUCUGGGAUAACCCCGAGAAAUCGGAGCUAAUACCGGAUAGGACCUUGCCCCGCAUGGGGGUUGGUGGAAAGUUUUUCGGUCUGGGAUGGACUCGCGGCCUAUCAGCUUGUUGGUGAGGUAAUGGCUCACCAAGGCGUCGACGGGUAGCCGGCCUGAGAGGGUGACCGGCCACACUGGGACUGAGACACGGCCCAGACUCCUACGGGAGGCAGCAGUGGGGAAUAUUGCACAAUGGGCGCAAGCCUGAUGCAGCAACGCCGCGUGCGGGAUGACGGCCUUCGGGUUGUAAACCGCUUUUAGUAGGGAAGAAGCCUUUCGGGGUGACGGUACCUGCAGAAAAAGGACCGGCUAACUACGUGCCAGCAGCCGCGGUAAUACGUAGGGUCCGAGCGUUGUCCGGAAUUAUUGGGCGUAAAGAGCUCGUAGGCGGUUUGUCGCGUCUGCUGUGAAAUCCCGGGGCUCAACUCCGGGCCUGCAGUGGGUACGGGCAGACUUGAGUGGUGUAGGGGAGACUGGAAUUCCUGGUGUAGCGGUGGAAUGCGCAGAUAUCAGGAGGAACACCGAUGGCGAAGGCAGGUCUCUGGGCACUUACUGACGCUGAGGAGCGAAAGCGUGGGGAGCGAACAGGAUUAGAUACCCUGGUAGUCCACGCCGUAAACGUUGGGCGCUAGAUGUGGGGACC